This is a non-coding RNA of Vicia faba (fava bean), 210 nucleotides long. NCBI's taxonomy places the organism in Eukaryota, Viridiplantae, Streptophyta, Magnoliopsida, Fabales, Fabaceae. The record is from the annotation of a GenBank genome assembly.
AUGUCGAGUUGCAAGGGUAAAAAGUCAUGGCCAGAAUUGGUUGGAAUCAAUGGAGAAGCAGCAGUACAAAUAAUCAUGAGUGAAAAUUCGAGAGUGACUGCAAGAACUUUACCAGAAGAUUCAGUAGUUACCACUGAUUUCAGGUGUGACAGAGUUCGUGUCUUUGUUGAUAAACAAGAUGCUGUAGCUCGAGUGCCCAAUAUUGGUUAA